GUCUAUGGCCAUACCACCCUGAACACUCCUGAUCUCGUCUGAUCUCAGAAGCUAAGCAUGGUCGAGCCUGGUUAGUACUUGGAUGGGAGGAGUCUGAGGUAUUUUUCCCA
This 110-nucleotide ribosomal RNA is filed under the name Castor canadensis (American beaver). Lineage: Eukaryota; Metazoa; Chordata; Mammalia; Rodentia; Castoridae. The record is from RNAcentral.